GCCAGCGUGGCAUAAGGUUUGAGUGUUGGACUAUGAGUCUGGAGACCAGGGUUCAAUUCCCUGCUCGGUCA
This is a non-coding RNA of Phrynosoma platyrhinos (Desert horned lizard), 71 nucleotides long. The record is from the annotation of a GenBank genome assembly. Lineage: Eukaryota; Metazoa; Chordata; Lepidosauria; Squamata; Phrynosomatidae.